This 5747-nucleotide long non-coding RNA is filed under the name Homo sapiens (human). RNAcentral describes it as "HSALNT0096229". The record is from RNAcentral. Lineage: Eukaryota; Metazoa; Chordata; Mammalia; Primates; Hominidae.
UUUGUGUUUUUCCACAAUGCCAGACUUUUACUGAUGCUAUUUCAAUCACAAAAGCCACGAACUACAUGGAGUUUCCAAGAAAGCAAUUCUCCUUAGUACUUCCCACUCACUCAGCACUCAGAGUCUUGGACACACAGGCUCAAGGCACUCCACAGGUCAAUCAAUAUUGCAAAUCAUGCAUAAUGGUAUACUUAAUCAACAUAUAUAUUAUAGAGUGAACAUUCCACAAACAAAAUAACAUUUAACAUUAAGAGAAAAGAGAUAGGACCCUUUUCUCCUUUAAGUCUGGAGCCCUCAGAAUCAUCUCCUUUCCUUCCUUUUUCCCUCUUUCCUCCCCCAAUUUAUUUUUUAAUCUUUGUGGGACAUGACUUCUAGGAGUGAGACCUGAAUUUCCUGGAAUAAACCAUCCUAGCGACAAGAAACCAGCUCAAAAAAGGAGGAAAAAGCGAACUGAGGCCAGGAACACAUAUUCCUUUUAAAAUGCUUUCUCCAAAAGAUGUUAAAGAAAAAAAGGGGGAAAUGUGAAAGGAAAUUAAAUCUUGGGACCCCAGACUCAUUAAGCCAAAGGGAAAAGUCAAGCUGGGAAGUGGGUCACACAAACCUGCCUCCCGCUUUUGGUUCCUAAAUAAGAUGGCUACAAGAUGGAAAGCUACAUGCCUCCCCCAUAUUUUGCCCACAAGGAAAUUCCUAGUGAGGAAUUUUACUUUCCUAGAAAGGAAAAAAGAAAAGAGAUGAAAAAAUAUAUAUAGGGACUAGGCCAGAUUUAUAGCAACAAAAGGAAAGCAAACCUGGAAGCUGGGUCAAGCUUUAUUAUAUUACUGCCUCCUCAAUUAAAGCAAUUCUCUGGGCAAUCAUUACCUUAGCCCUUUCGGUUGCAUAUUGACUUAUUUGCAAACACGUACUAUAACAACAUUGUAAGCAGAAACAGGACAGAACAUAAAUUAUUCCUUCUAUUAUAAGCAAUAGCUUCUGCCACUAAAUUCCCCAGGAUCCAAACCAACCACUCAAGCAAUGGAUUAGUGAGGGUUUUGGAUCUGACAGUUGCUUAUCUGGGUUUUCAUACUGGUCAUAAUUCAGUUUAUGUUCUUUGAUUCAUCUGGAAUAUACACACAACAUUCAGUUUUUACGGUGGCACAGGUUCCCCUUGUGCUGCCAUGAGUAUAUCUAAAGCCACAUAGUUUUGCAACACAGCUUUCCUCAUAAGCAUGACCUCAUUGCUUAGCAAAGAGGUACUCAUGCAGCUACCAUUUAGGGCCUUUGGGUGUAAUUCGUUAUGGCCUCUAUAUGCCAUAUAACAUCUUCGAUACCUAUCUGUGGUACAAAGAUUGAAGCUAAGUGAUCAUAGCACUGGAAUACCAAACAUGUCCAAUGAGAUUGUAAAUGAAAAAGGUUUGCUGGUUUAAUGGAAGGGUCUGAAUUACUGGGCAACAUAUGGGGGAGGCAUGUAGCUUUUCAUCUUAUAGCCAUCUUAUUUAGGAACCAAAAGCAGGAGGCAGGUUUGUGUGACCCAGUUCCCAGCUCGACUUUUCCCUUUGGCUUAAUGAGUUUGGGGUCCCAAGAUUUAAUUUCCUUUCACAAUAUAUAUAAUCCAUAUUUUCCUUUUCUUUUUUUUCGAGAUGGGGGUCUCACUUUGUCACCCAGGCAUGAUCAUAGCUCACUGUUACCUGGAAUUCUUGGGUUCAAGGGAUCCUCCAGCCUUAGCCUCCCAAGUAGCUGUGACUAUAGAAGCAGGCCACGGUGCCCAGCUAAUUUUUAACUUUUUUGUAGAGACAGGGUCUCACCAUGUUGCCCAAGCUGGUCUCGGAACUCCUGGGCUCAAGUGAUUCUCCAGCCUUGGCCUCCCAAAGUGCUGGGAUUACAAGUGUGAGCCAUGGCACCUGGCUCCAUGUUUUCCACCAGAUUUUUUAACAUUGUAGGGGCCAACAGAAAAGUUCCCCUUUGCCCUCUUAAGAUUCACUGAAAAUUAACUAGCAAAAGGCAGAUUAAUAGGAGAAAAGACAUACAAAUUUAUUUGAUCAUAGUUUUACCUGACAUAGGAGCCUUCAGAAUGAAGACACAGAUGGGAAAUUGUCCAUUUAUAUGCCUAGGUUCAACAAAGUAUGGACAGCUAUGUAGAAAUAGGAUUGGACAAAAAGCGUACUGAUUUAGCGCUAAUAGACUGAGUGGGGAAACCCAGCGAGGCCUGUCUGUCUAGAUUCUUGGCCUCUCUCGGCAGCAUUCCUUCCUUCUGGGUAUGUACAGGACCGUCUUUGGAAUGGGGGUCUUAUGACCUACAAUCUAAAACAAAGUAGCUCAGAUAAUUUAUUCAGAGCCAGUUUUUACACAAAAGCAAGGCGGAAGUUAGAGUAGUUUUUUUUUUUUUUUUUUUUUUUGAGACAGAGUCUUGCUCUGUCGCCCAGGCUGGAGUGCAAUGGUGCGAUCUCGGCUCACUGCAACCUCCACCUCCCAAGUUCAAGUAAUUCUCCUGCCUCAGCCUCCUGAGUAGCGGGGAUUACAGGCACGCACCACCAUGCCUGGCUAAUUUUUGUAUUUUCAGUAGAGACAGGGUUUCAUCAUGUUGGUCAGGCUGGUCUCGAACUCCUGACUUUGUGAUCCACCUGCCUCUGCCUCCCAAAGUGCUGGGAUUACAGGUGUGAGCCACCGCGCCCGGCCUAGAGUAGUAUUUUACAUUUUAUGGCUGGCUUUGGGGAAAAGGGGUUCUCUCUAUGACCCACCUUGAGGAAAAGGGAUUCAGUGUCUGUGGCUAGGCUUGGGGAAGAAUGAAGGGCCAGAGACAGGAAGGCAGAAGGUCAGAGAGAAACUUUUGCUUCUGAGGCUGCUUCAGAGCCUUAAUUUGGGGUAUCAUUUUCUGAGCCCCAACAACAUGUUAAAGUCUCUGUCCAUUAGUUCAAACAUCUGGGUUUGAGUAGCUGGGACGACAGGCCUGCACCACUACACCUGGCUAAUUUUUGUACUUUAAGUAGAGGUGGGGUUUCACCAUGUUGGCCAGGCUGGUCUUGAACUCUUGGCUUCAAGUGAUCUGCCUGCUUUGGCCUCCCAACGUGCUGGGAUUACAGGCGUGAGCCACCGUGCCCGGCCAAGUCAUUGCUUAUAUAACAGAAGAGAAUGAGGUAAAUCAUAUUAAUGCUCGGAAAUGGGCAAGUGUGUUCUGUUAGACCGUCUGCAUGGGGUUUGGUCAAUCUGGUUAGGAAUCAAGCGGGGCUUGGGUUUUUUUUUUGUUUUUUGUUUUUGUUUUUGAGAUGGAGUUUUGCUUUUGUUGCCUACACUGGAGUGCAAUAGUGCGAUCUUGGCUCACCACAACCUCCAGCUCCUGGGUUCAAGCGAUUCUCCAGCUUCAGCCUCCUGAGUAGCUGGGAUUACAGGCAUGCAACACCACACCCGACUAAUUUUAUAUUUUUAGUAGACAUGGGGUUUCUCCAUGUUGGUCAGGCUGGUCUCAAACUCCUGACCUCAGGUGAUCCACCUGCCUCAGCCUCCCAAAGUGCUGAGAUUACAGGCUUGAGCCACCGCACCUGACCUGGGCUUGGGUUUUAUUGCUAUGGUUGCUUUCAAUGUACCACAGAUUUCACCUACUCUAGCAUUAUUCUAUACUGUAGGUUGGGGCUGAAGAACUCAAGUGUUCAUGCUUCAUCCUCAGCUUACAGCUGUCCUGCCUACCUGCACAGUGGUGACUAACUUUCUAGGCCUUUGCCCAUCCCCUAGAAAUGGAUGCUUGUUACUAGCUGCUUGGUAGGCUGGUAGCGGGGUAGAAGUAAAGGGGUUCUCUGUUGUUCUAAUUCAAUUCAGCCUCAGUCCUCAGCAGGCCCUGUGUGGGCCUUAGGAAUAGAUCUUUUCUCGGCAUUCUUGCCCCCCAAAACUGGGCAAGUUCAUUAAAUGAGUGUAAAGAGGAAAGAAGUGUGAGAAAUGAGAUUUGGUAUACUGCAAGGUUGGGAAGAUGGGAAAGAACUAGCAAAGAAUACGGAAGGAAACUUUCUAGCAGGGUAGACAGAAAAUUGUUACUGAAUUAAACUGGGGUCUGCUCACCCAGUGCCACAAAGCCAUUGACAUCAGGCUAGUAGCAAGAGAAAGUGAGGCAUUUUAUUGCAGGGCACCAUGCAAGGAGAAUUGCACAGAUCAUGCUUAAGACCCGAACUCCCAGAUGGCUUAAAGCUACGGGUUUUUAAAGGCAGGGAAAGAGAGGUUACAGGCAAAGUCAUAAAUCAAUACAUAGAGGCUAUACAUUGGUUUGACCUAAAAAGGUGGGACAUCUCAAAGCUGGGAUGGGGGUGGACUCAAAGGUCAUAGGUGGUUUCAAAGAUUUUUUGAUUUAUGAUUAAGGCGGUGAAGCUGUCUAAACUUGGGAUCCACAGAAAAGAAUGUUAGCUCUGGCCGGUGGACAUGACUUCCUCCAGGCCCCUCAGGAAGCAACUUAGAACAAUGAACAGUGGUCAGAGUUCAGUUCUCAGUUUCCCCUUAUCUGAGGUUUAAAGCUGGUGAGAGUUCAGGUUUCUGAAAAGUUGGGGACAUGUAUGUUACCCUUAGUUUCUAUAGGGAACAAAACAUCUCACUCUGACUUCCUUGGCUAUUGUGUUCAGCUACUUCUUGCUUAUCAGGUUGCUCAUUAACUUCUUUGGGCUAGCUAGGUGCCUAGAAUUCCCUUGAAGGAACUCAAGAUUUCCCUUUAUUUCCAUGCAUGGAGGGGCCCACAAGCCUCCUAAAAGGGGGUCCCUGCUCUGCCUCAAAACCAGGAGUGUUGUGUUCUGGAAACCAAGCAAAGCCUUUCAAGAAGGGAGAGAUAAACUGUCAGAUCUACUGAAAAAUUGCAUAGUUAAGGACUGAGAACUGACCCUGUAUUUAAGUGUGGUGAUUGCUGGUGACCUUGACAAGAGCAGUUUCGACCAAGUGGUGGCGGUGAGAGUCUAACUGGAAUGGGUUCAGGUGAGAAUGGAGGAACUGGAAGGUUGAAUUAGGGUUUUUUUUUUUUUUUUUCCCUUGAGACGGAGUCUCGCUCUGCUGCCCAGGCUGGAGUGCCGUGGCGUGAUCUUGGCUCACUGCAAGCUCCGCCUCCCAGGUUCACGCCAUUCUCCUGCCUCAGCCUCGAGAGUAGCUGGGACUACAGGCACCUGCCACCAGGCCCGGCUAAUUUUUUUUAUUAUUUUUAGUAGAGACGGGAUUUCACCUUGUUAGCCAGGAUGGUCUCGAUCUCCUGACCUCGUGAUCUGCCCGCCUCAGCCUCCCAAAGUGCUGGGAUUACAGGUGUGAGCCACCGCACCUGGCCAUUUUUGUUUUUUAAAAAACUUUUACUUAAACAGAGACAAGGUCUUGUUAGGUUUUCCAGUCUUGUCUCAAACUCCUGGCCUCAAAUCAUCCUCUCACCUCGGCCUCCUAAAGCGCUGGGAUUACAGGUGUGAGCGAUCAUGCCCAGUCAGAGUUAGAGGAGUUUUGCUGUACAGGGAGUGGAGAAAUGGAGUGGCAGCUGAAGAGGAGAGUGAGGCCAAUUUCUUUUUUAAGAUGAGAGAAAUCACAUGCUAAUGGAAAAGGGAAGGAGGGAGCUGCCGAUGCUAUCUGUGAAUAGGUAAGAGGAUGAGCUUCAGUGUUAAGAGGUGGGGCUGGGUUCCAACAGGAAGAGUAUGAAUAAUUCAUCUAAGUAAGAGGAGGGAAGGAACAGUUAUGAAGGUACAGAUGAAGGUGAUGAGUGGCCACUGGUGGAGUCAGACCACUGUGUAUAUUGUAAAGGAUAUCUUUAGAAGCAAUGACCCAGGAUAAAA